GGGGAAUCUUGCGCAAUGGACGAAAGUCUGACGCAGCGACGCCGCGUGGGUGACGAAGGCCUUCGGGUUGUAAAGCCCUGUGGGGCGAGACGAACAGCUUCUGGUCGAACAGGCCAGGGGUUUGACGGUAUCGCCUUAGCAAGCACCGGCUAACUCUGUGCCAGCAGCCGCGGUAAUACAGAGGGUGCAAGCGUUAUUCGGAAUUAUUGGGCGUAAAGAGCGUGUAGGUGGUUGAGUAAGUUUGAUGUGAAAGCCCUAGUCUCAAGCUAGGAAGUGCAUUGAAUACUAAUCGGCUAGAGUACAGGAGAGGUUAGUGGAAUUCCAGGUGUAGAGGUGAAAUUCGUAGAUAUCUGGAGGAACAACAGUGGCGAAGGCGACUAACUGGACUGUAACUGACACUAAGGCGCGAAAGCGUGGGGAGCAAAC
RNAcentral lists this ribosomal RNA (426 nucleotides) under uncultured bacterium. RNAcentral describes it as "bacterial SSU rRNA". It matches the Rfam family "Bacterial small subunit ribosomal RNA", at positions 356 to 773 of the family's 1533-position model. The record is from RNAcentral.